UAAAGUGCUGCCUGGCUCCCCCCAAAGACUGCAAGUGCCUUCUGCUCAGAGCUAAAUCCAAGAGCCUCGCUUAGUAUCCAGCACAUACAUGCCCCGCCUGAGCCAUGCCCCAGGUGUGCUCACCUGGCCCAGCAGCUCCAGGAAGCAGGAGCAGAGAGGAAGCCUGACUCUACCUGCAGACGGAUCCUGGAGGAUAGAAACUUUGCAGGAAGCAGCCCUGCCAGCCUCGGUGAUGCCUUCGUAAGGAUGGGAAAAGCCUGCCCCUUCCUCUGGCAGACACAGCCCCAUCCGUGUGCAGGAAACAAGCUGUAUUUCAGCCCCACGCAUCCACUUGGCUGCACAACCACAACAAUGGCCUGCGUGGGAGCUCCCGUCUUAUGGGCUGAGGACAGCGCUGCCCGGGGGAGGGUGUCAAGGGCCCCCUCCAUACACUCAAAGUUACUGUCAGAAGGUCAAUGGCUGAGCUCCCCAGGAGAGUAGCCAUCAGUUGUAUGUGGCUAUUUAAAUUUACAGUAAAACUAAAUAAAAUGAAAAAUUUCAUACUUUA
Canis lupus familiaris (dog) is the source of this 547-nucleotide long non-coding RNA. RefSeq lists it as uncharacterized. The transcript is spliced from 2 exons. NCBI's taxonomy places the organism in Eukaryota, Metazoa, Chordata, Mammalia, Carnivora, Canidae. The record is from RefSeq and is a predicted model, not a curated record.